CCUACGGGUGGCUGCAGUGGGGAAUAUUGGACAAUGGGGGGAACCCUGAUCCAGCCAUGCCGCGUGUGUGAAGAAGGCCCUCGGGUUGUAAAGCACUUUCAGUGAGGAAGAACGCCUGGUGGUUAAUACCCAUCAGGAAAGACAUCACUCACAGAAGAAGCACCGGCUAACUCCGUGCCAGCAGCCGCGGUAAUACGGAGGGUGCGAGCGUUAAUCGGAAUUACUGGGCGUAAAGCGCGCGUAGGUGGCUUGAUAAGCCGGUUGUGAAAGCCCCGGGCUCAACCUGGGAACGGCAUCCGGAACUGUCAAGCUAGAGUGCAGGAGAGGAAGGUGGAAUUCCCGGUGUAGCGGUGAAAUGCGUAGAGAUCGGGAGGAAUACCAGUGGCGAAGGCGGCCUUCUGGACUGACACUGACACUGAGGUGCGAAAGCGUGGGUAGCAAACAGGAUUAGAUACCCGAGUAGUC
RNAcentral lists this ribosomal RNA (465 nucleotides) under Vreelandella stevensii. Its description in RNAcentral is "partial 16S ribosomal RNA". It matches the Rfam family "Bacterial small subunit ribosomal RNA", at positions 338 to 795 of the family's 1533-position model. The record is from RNAcentral. Lineage: Bacteria; Pseudomonadati; Pseudomonadota; Gammaproteobacteria; Oceanospirillales; Halomonadaceae.